This is a long non-coding RNA of Juglans regia (Persian walnut), 1335 nucleotides long. RefSeq lists it as uncharacterized. NCBI's taxonomy places the organism in Eukaryota, Viridiplantae, Streptophyta, Magnoliopsida, Fagales, Juglandaceae. The record is from RefSeq and is a predicted model, not a curated record. The transcript has 3 exons.
AUCGACCAACUGGAAACGGUCACCUAAGCGACGAUGCGAUGCAUCAUAUACCCAGUUUGAAUACAAUGUCAUAAAUCACUCCAGUUCGAACCAGCAGCUGUCGAGAACAACGAUUUCACCCCUUAUCUCACCCGCGAAAACCGCCAUAUCAAACCCACAUUUGAACUUCUAAGAGUAUUCUAAUGGCAAUCAACGGAAGAAAACGUGUGAGAGAUCAGACCAGCCAAAGUAGUGGAGCAGCUUGUGCUCAGGAGACAAGGCCUAUACUUGUUGAGCGGGAGAUCAUUUUGGAUGACUUCUGUGAUCUUUCAUGGGAGGGACGGAGCAUACAGUCCAUUAUCACCGAGCAGGGAUGGACACCGAUCUGUCAGCAGUGGGGGAUUGCAUAUCCAUAGAUGAUCGGUGAGUUUUAUCGUGCCAUUGGAGAGGAUGAUGCUGAUGCUCUGUUCUACGCCUUAACAGUUUAGGGAGUGAGUAUUACUCUCUCUCCCAUAAUUGUUGAGUUCCUUGAUAUCCUGCGCGUGGACGGUGCAUUUCCUGCAAUGGCAACACCGGGACCAACGACUGCACCAUCUGAUUCUGACACACCGAUCGCAUCCUCAACACUAGCGUCGAAUGUAGAGCUGGAUGCUAGUUCAGAUGGUAGUGAAGAUGAGGAUCUACCUGAUGAUAGUCUCACAGACGAUCAGGUAUGUCAGCUAGUGCGAGACCUUUCGGCUCCUUAAUAUGAUGGGAGCAAGGUGAUCGAAUAGGCCGAUUAUAUAGAUUUUUCAAAUUGCUUAAUUUGAUUGUUGGCUAUAACAUUGAUCCAAAAAAAUACAAGACUGAUUUCGGGAUCGAUCGAGCCAGAUUCUUGUUGUGGAUAGCACGGGAGGACCUCAUUGAUCUAGCAUUGUAUUUCUUCUUCCUCAUUCGAUCGGAGUCACGCUAUUCCAGUGGACGUACUCUACCAUUUGCACUGCUAAUAUCUAACCACCUACUCCGAUUGGGAGUAACAUUGUCUAUGAUUGAGCGGAGGUAGCCAUAGAUGGAGCCCGUUAACAAUAUCACAUUCAGCAAGAGCAAGGGGUACUUGCGCUAUACUGCACCAAAACAUUCUAGUGGCACGCUGAUCGAUCCAUAUUCUAGUAGUAUUGCCGCUGUUGAAAGACAAUCUCCUGGGGCUACUUUGGAUCAAGUACGAUCUCUGUUUGUGGAGUUCGUUGAGCCCAACAUGAAGAAGCUUAGGGAUUUAGACGGACACAUUAAAAUGUUACCAGAAGAUGUUGAUCUACUUAGCAAAUAGAUUGUUUUAGUUAUUAUUUUACUUUUUUAUGUUGUAUUGAACAUUAUAUA